RNAcentral lists this ribosomal RNA (630 nucleotides) under uncultured bacterium. RNAcentral's name for it is "bacterial SSU rRNA". The stretch from base 1 to 537 matches the Rfam family "Bacterial small subunit ribosomal RNA", at positions 338 to 873 of the family's 1533-position model. The record is from RNAcentral.
CCUACGGGAGGCAGCAGUGGGGAAUUUUGGACAAUGGGGGCAACCCUGAUCCAGCAAUGCCGCGUGAGUGAAGAAGGCCUUCGGGUUGUAAAGCUCUUUUGUCAGGGAAGAAACAGCAGCUCUAACACAGCUGUGAAUGACGGUACCUGAAGAAUAAGCACCGGCUAACUACGUGCCAGCAGCCGCGGUAAUACGUAGGGUGCAAGCGUUAAUCGGAAUUACUGGGCGUAAAGCGUGCGCAGGCGGUUAUAUAAGACAGGUGUGAAAUCCCCGGGCUUAACCUGGGAAUUGCAUCUGUGACUGUAUAGCUAGAGUGUGUCAGGGGGGGGUAGAAUUCCACGUGUAGCAGUGAAAUGCGUAGAUAUGUGGAGGAAUACCAAUGGCGAAGGCAGCCCCCUGGGAUAACACUGACGCUCAUGCACGAAAGCGUGGGGAGCAAACAGGAUUAGAUACCCUGGUAGUCCACGCCCUAAACGAUGCUGACUAGUUGUUCGAGUUAUUCUCUGAGUACGUANACUACGNGUAGAGUNCGCCGCGGUGGGACGUCGGUCGACGAGUAAUUAAAACGUUAAAGGUAGUUAGGACCGGUACGUAGAGACGACGACGACGGACGACGACGGAGGGAGGAGG